RNAcentral lists this unclassified non-coding RNA (2697 nucleotides) under Hevea brasiliensis (rubber tree). The record is from RNAcentral. Lineage: Eukaryota; Viridiplantae; Streptophyta; Magnoliopsida; Malpighiales; Euphorbiaceae.
AUUUCGUAUAUGAAUCCAAUAAUAAAUAGAAAACAGCAAAGAAAGAGAAGGCAUCUUUCAGCAGAGUGGUUAGAAAUCAGACAUAGAUUAGGCCAAGCCAUUCGCUUAACGAAAAAUAGAGAAAGCGGUGUUUCCUUCUCAGGAGACCAAAUUACUCUGCAUCUCAUCCAUUAAUUAUUAUAUUUUAGUUCUUCUGCUGUUAGUUGGAUUAGCAUGUGAUCUGCUUUACUAGCUCUAAUUUUUUUUUAUCACCAUCGCGGGCUUGGAUCUUCCCACCUCCAAAAGAAAUGGGAUUCACGAGGCUUUUCUUUCUUCUUCAAUUUUGAUCCAGCCCAAUCAAAUCAUUUUCAAGCCUAAAGCCUAAAAGAAAACUGGGACUCUGGACUGGGCAGUGAUUUUAUAGUAAUAUAGGUAGAAACUACGUCGUCGUUCCUGUAACGGUUAAACCCUUGAUCGUGGGGUUUUAUACUUGGUUAGAGUAUCGGUUGCUUCGGUUCUCUGCUGCGAAACCCUAGUUUUCCAGCAUUUGAGUACCUCCCCUUUUGCUUUCUGUUGUAGUUUUUGUUUUUAUAUAUAUUGUUGAUUCACCAUAAGGGUCAAUUAUGUCUCAAAAUAACCUUCAAUCCGAUUCAUUGCAAAACCCCAGAGUGACUUGGGAGGGUUGCAGCGUCUUGCUCGACAUCAACGACGGCGACCGGCUGCUUUUUGCUCGUCUCACAUCAGGCUCCACUUUGAAAAUUGGAAACAAAAAUUUUUCUUUGCGGCCUUUAAUCGGUUGUCCCUUCGGUUCUUUGUUCCAAACUGAAAACGGGAAGGAAGGGCCCUGUUUAUCUCGUUUUAUUCCGUCCACAGAAGGUUUGGUCCUUAGCUUGUGUUUAAUUUCAUCAUUUUCUGGUUGGCAUUUUCACUGUCUUACUCUUAUGCGUUUCUUAUUUUUUUGAUUAAUCAAAGCUGGUUUGUUAAAUGCUUGAUUUUUUUAUCUCAUGGGUCGCUUGAUUAUUUGCUUCGGUGCUUAUUAUGAAUAUGGGAAUAUCGUUGGCCAAGUAAGACCUUUUUUUAGCGUUCUUUUAUUUGUAUGCUGAUUUAUUUUGUACUUCCCCACUAGGUAAUAAUGCUGAAGAAAAAGGUGAUUGUGAAAUAAUUAAUGAAUCCAGGGACAAUCGAGCCAUAAUUGAUAAUAAUAAAGCGCAAAGCCUAACUGGCGAAGACAUAGAUGCAAUGCGGAGGUGAGGAUUCCACAAUCUAAUAUCUGGAGGCUUUUACCAGAAUGAAUUGCAUGUUGUUGAAGCUUUUAUUCUAUUCUUAACAUCUAGUUAAACAAGUACAAAAAUUUGGUUCCCAUAUGGAAUAUUUGCGACUAUAUUAGUCAUUGGAUAUGUUGCUUUAUAAGGUGUAAUUUUUACUCUUUAAGAUGUUUCUAUGAGAAUUUGCAACCUCUUUUGACACAGACAGGGUGCAAAAGGUGAUGAGAUAGUUGAAGCUCUCAUUGCCAAUAGUGCUACAUUUGAAAAGAAAACUUUAUUCUCACAAGAGAAAUAUAGGCUUAAGAAACAAAAAAAGUAUGCACCUAGAGUACUUCUAAGGCGACCCUUCACUCGAAGCAUAUGUGAGGCAUACUUCAAGAAGUAUCCUGCUAGAAUUGGAUUCCUGCGAGUAGAUGCAUUGUCUCUGCUGCUUUCAAUGGCUAAUGUCACUGCCAACUCUGAUAUCCUGGUAGUGGAUAUGGUUGGUGGCCUUCUUACUGGUGCUGUAGCUGAGCGUUUAGGAGGUACAGGUUAUGUGUGCAAUACAUAUCUUGGAGGUACACCACAGUCGAUGGAUAUAGUAAGAAUGUUCAACUUCAACAAUGAUAUUUGCAAAAGGAUUGUGCGGGCACCUCUGAAUGACCUCCGUUUAGCUCAAAGUGGAACUUCUAAACAAAUUGGUACACAUGAAGAUGCGCCUGAUAUGGAGUCAAAUGGUCUAACUUCAUCAAUCAACAUGGAGGAAGUAUCCAAGUCAUCUGAGCAUAAAGUUACAGAUCUAGAUCCAGAUGCUAAUGUUUCUCCCACAAGCAAAAUGAGCAAAGCCCCUAAAGCUGGAGAAAGUGCAUCACAAGAAGCCUUGAAAUUGUGGGGUGAAAAUGGUUUUUCAAGCCUAAUAAUUGCAGCUCCAGAUCUAGAUCCUUGGAGCUUAGUCAAAGAUCUCCUGCCACUUGUAUCAUAUUCGGCUCCAUUUGCUAUCUACCACCAGUAUCUUCAGCCUCUUGCAAAUUGCAUGCACAAUCUACAGCUUGGGAAAAUGGCAAUUGGUUUGCAAAUUUCAGAGCCUUGGCUACGUGAAUAUCAGGUUCUUCCUUCGAGAACUCAUCCAUGCAUGCAGAUGAGUGCAUUUGGUGGUUACAUCCUAAGCGGGACAAGGAUAUGUAGCAGCUAAUCCCUACUUCAAAAGAACAAAUGGAUAAUACUAUGCUCAUUCAUGCAUGGGGCUCGUCUUCGGCAAGCAAAGCAGCUGCCCACCAAAUGCAUGCUAGAUUUUCAUUGAUAUUUACUUUUGUUUGCAAAUUUGUGCCAUUCCAUGAUUUGGGAACUUGCAAUGCUGCAAGUUAAUUUUUUUCCAUGGCCGUAUUGCAAUCUAGCUUGCAUGACUUGAUUUGUUGUAAUAACAUUCAGCCUAUACUGUUGUCCUUUCUCUCAUACUGCAUGUGCUUGCAAGCCU